This 403-nucleotide ribosomal RNA is filed under the name denitrifying bacterium SN1556. RNAcentral describes it as "bacterial SSU rRNA". It matches the Rfam family "Bacterial small subunit ribosomal RNA", at positions 434 to 847 of the family's 1533-position model. RNAcentral also lists the same sequence under 2 other names. The record is from RNAcentral.
UUUCAGCAGGGAAGAAGCGAAAGUGACGGUACCUGCAGAAGAAGCGCCGGCUAACUACGUGCCAGCAGCCGCGGUAAUACGUAGGGCGCAAGCGUUGUCCGGAAUUAUUGGGCGUAAAGAGCUCGUAGGCGGCUUGUCACGUCGGGUGUGAAAGCUCGGGGCUUAACCCCGAGUCUGCAUUCGAUACGGGCUAGCUAGAGUGUGGUAGGGGAGAUCGGAAUUCCUGGUGUAGCGGUGAAAUGCGCAGAUAUCAGGAGGAACACCGGUGGCGAAGGCGGAUCUCUGGGCCAUUACUGACGCUGAGGAGCGAAAGCGUGGGGAGCGAACAGGAUUAGAUACCCUGGUAGUCCACGCCGUAAACGGUGGGAACUAGGUGUUGGCGACAUUCCACGUCGUCGGUGCC